GGAAGUAAAAGUCGGUAACAAGGUCUCCGUUGGUGAACCAGCGGAGGGAUCAUUACCGAGUUCCAGCAACUCCCAACCCUUGCGAACCGUGCCCCAGUCUGUUCUCGUUGCCUCCGGCAGGCGGGGGGGGCCACCUGGCCCCUCCCCCUGCCGGGGGCGGCGGGCCCUCUGAACCUUUAUAUCUCAACCACUGAAACCCGUCUGAGCAAAACAAAAAAUAAUCAAAACUUUCAACAACGGAUCUCUUGGCUCUG
RNAcentral lists this unclassified non-coding RNA (254 nucleotides) under plant metagenome. RNAcentral's name for it is "partial contains small subunit ribosomal RNA, internal transcribed spacer 1, and 5.8S ribosomal RNA". The stretch from base 1 to 55 matches the Rfam family "Eukaryotic small subunit ribosomal RNA", at positions 1778 to 1831 of the family's 1831-position model. The record is from RNAcentral.